RNAcentral lists this long non-coding RNA (2554 nucleotides) under Sus scrofa (pig). RNAcentral describes it as "lncRNA (ENSSSCG00050078731.1)". The record is from RNAcentral. Lineage: Eukaryota; Metazoa; Chordata; Mammalia; Artiodactyla; Suidae.
AGAGGCCGGAAGUGGCCUGUCUGGCGCUGAGGCUGCUGGGAGAUGCAGUUCUGUGUACUUUUCUACGUCGGCGAGGCUGUCCUUUCUACCUCCGCGGGGCUGGCGAUUAAUCUCUUCCUCUCCUGCUCUGCUUUUUCACAUUCGCCCGGGACCCUCAGAUCUUUCGGCCUCCCUGUGAACAAACCACGCAUGUCACCUUCUGCUGGAUUCUGGUGUUUUCUACUUUCUACAGCUUCCAGGCCACCCACCUGGAGUCAUCAAGAACCCAGUGCCUGCAGUCAACCUGCCUUCCCAGCGUGCCCUGUUCCUAUGCCUUGGGCCUGGCCCCAUGUCAGCUUUCACCUGGAAUUCUGCAAAGCCUCCUUGAGGUCUCCGAGCCUCAAUGCUCGACCUCUGCAGUCUCUUCUUUGCUGCAUCGAACGAGCAGAAUUGUAAACCUCAGUUCCGUUUCACUCCUCCCCUGCCUGAGACCCUUCGUGGUUCCCCAGGGUCCUCAGGACAAAGCCCAAGCCCCUUGGCCUGGCGAUCAGUGCCCUGUGCUCACCUCUCCAGCUCCAGCUCAGAUAGCUCUGCCCGCACAAGCUGGCUUUGCACCAGAGGGCCACCUUCCUCCCCUUCAGCCUCCUCCUCCCGAGGAGCCCUUGGGAUGCCACCUCCCAGGAGGCUCUCCCCCCCCCCGCCCCCGUCUCUACACCUGUCAUGAGCAGUUAUUGCCAUAGUUCUGCCUGACUAUGUCACGGUUGCAUCUUCUCUCUUCUCCGACCCCCAGCACAGUGCUUCUCGAGGGAGGUGCUUCCUCAAUAUUGUCGUCUCAUUUUAUGUUUGGAAAAUGAAAAAAAAAAGAAUGUUUUUUUCCUUUGUCAGAAAUUUAAGAAAUAUAGGAAAGCAAAAAAAAAAAAAAAAAGGAAUAAUGUGUUUUCACUAACCUGACCUAGUCCCCGUGAUCAUUUUUGCUUGUUUCUACUUCUUUCUUUUUUUCUUUUUUGGCUGUAGCCAGGGCAUGCAGAGGUCCCCAGGCCAAGGACCAAACCUACACCACAGCAGUGACAAGAUCAGAUCCUCGAUCCACUGCCCCACCAAGGAACUCCUAUUUCCACUGCUUUCUAGGUCAUUUAAAAACAUUUCACAGGGGAGUUCCCAUCGUGACUCAGUCGUUAACGAAUCCGACUAGGAACCAAAGGUCGCAGGUUCGAUCCCUGCCCUUGCUCACUGGGUUAAGGAUCCAGCAUUGCCGUAAGCUGUGGUGUAGGUCACAGACGCAGCUCCGAUCCCGAGUUGCUGCGGCUCUGCUGUAGGCCAGCGGCUAUGGCUCCGAUUAGACCCCUAGCCUGGGAACCUCCAUAUGCCUUGGGUGUGGCCCUAGAAAAAGACAAAAAAAAAAAAAAAUUAGACCUUAACAGAAAAACUAAAGUCUCUCUACCCCAGAGCCAAGUGGUGUCAAAUCAAUUAUCUUCCAAUCUUGUAAACACCUUUAUUUGUGCAUCGACUUAACCUGCAGAAAAAGGAGUGUGUGGUACUUUUUAUUUGUCGUAACAGUGUUUUGCUAUAAUAUGGUUUUUCACUCCACACUGUUUUUUGAGAUUAGUCCAUGUUACAAACAAAUUUUGAAGCAUAAUCUCCAGGCGACACCCGAGCUUCAAGGUGAAGGGCCUGGAGUCAAAAUCCUGCUUAGUGCUUAGUCCCUGUGUGAUUUUAUGUCCUGAGCCUCAGUUUUCUCUGUAGGGAAAUUAAGAUAACAUAGACCCUAAAAGAGCGUCUCGUAAGGUUGAGAAAAGCAAAUGCACAGUGCCUGACACACAGCAAAUGCCCAGAGAACGUGUGACUAAAGGCACUGGCUUGUAGGUUAAUUUGGAAACGAUCUGCAUCUUUACAAUAUUCCAGCCUCCCACCUGGCGAUGAGACGUCACUCUUCAUUUUUUCAGAUCUUUUAGGUCCUUCCCCAAACAUGUAGAGAUUUCUCUUUCAAAAAAAAAAUUCUGCACAUUUUUAUCUAUUUACUUGUCUUUUUUUAGGGCUGCACCCAUGGCAUACGGAGGUUCCCAGGCUUGGGGUCCAUUUGGAGCUGUAGCCGCCCUACACCACAGCCACAGCAAUGCAGGAUCCAAGCCACGUCUUUGACCUACACCAGCUCACAGCAAUGCCAGAUCCUUAACCCACUGAGCGAGGCCAGGGAUCAAACCCGCUCUGCCACCCCUCUAUGUCAACAAUAGUUCAACAGAUUAGAAAAAAGACUGAUGUAAUUAAGAGGAAAGAAGAAGAAUAUGUGACCGUCUCAGAUGCAGAAGAAGCAUUCAGUGAAAAAGAGCAUCCCUGAUAAAACUGUGCCUUAAUGUAAUCAGGUGUCUGUCAAAAGCCUCAGCAAAACUCAGAUGGACAGGUUGGCUUGCCAAUCACCCAUGUAGGCAUUAUUUUAAGAUAAGAAAUGGGGAGUUCUCUUUGUGGCCCAGCAGGUUAAGGACCCGACAUUGAGUCUGUAAAGAUACGGGUUGGAUCCCUGGCCUUGCUCAGUGGGUUAAGGAUCUGGUGUUGCUGUGGCUGUGGUGUAGGCCUNCUG